This 99-nucleotide ribosomal RNA is filed under the name Stylophora sp. PG-2017. Its description in RNAcentral is "partial 5.8S ribosomal RNA". It matches the Rfam family "5.8S ribosomal RNA", at positions 56 to 154 of the family's 154-position model. Rfam says of the family: 5.8S ribosomal RNA (5.8S rRNA) is a component of the large subunit of the eukaryotic ribosome. It is transcribed by RNA polymerase I as part of the 45S precursor that also contains 18S and 28S rRNA. Lineage: Eukaryota; Metazoa; Cnidaria; Anthozoa; Scleractinia; Pocilloporidae. The record is from RNAcentral.
CGAUAAGUAGUGUGAAUUGCAGAAUUCAGUGAAUCAUCGAAUCUUUGAACGCAAAUGGCGCUCUUGGGUUCUCCCAGGAGCAUGUCUGUCUGAGUGUCU